CUACGGGGCGCAGCAGUGAGGAAUUUUGCGCAAUGGGGGGAACCCUGACGCAGCAACGCCGCGUGAGUGAUGAAGGCUUUCGGGUCGUAAAGCUCUGUCAAGUGGGAAGAACCUAUGCAGUGUUAAUAUCACUGUGUACUGACGGUACCACUGAAGGAAGCACCGGCUAACUCCGUGCCAGCAGCCGCGGUAAUACGGGGGGUGCAAGCGUUAUUCGGAAUCAUUGGGCGUAAAGGGCACGUAGGCGGCUUGGUAAGUCAGAUGUGAAAGCCCGGGGCUUAACCCCGGAAGUGCAUUUGAUACUGUCAGGCUUGAGUAUGGGAGAGGGAAGUGGAAUUCCUGGUGUAGAGGUGAAAUUCGUAGAUAUCAGGAGGAACACCGGUGGCGAAGGCGACUUCCUGGACCAAUACUGACGCUGAGGUGCGAAGGCGUGGGUAGCAAACAGGAUUAGAUACCCCAGUAGUC
Molecule: ribosomal RNA, 465 nt
Filed under: uncultured bacterium
Lineage: Bacteria
Description: partial 16S ribosomal RNA
Rfam family: Bacterial small subunit ribosomal RNA
Source: RNAcentral